CUAGGGGGUAUGUGUAGAUGUACUCACAGCUACCUUGCCCUUCCUACGUCACACAACCCUAGUCUAUGACAAGUGUUCUCUGUCAUCACCUCCCCACCCCCCACACACUCCCCCCAGUAAUCCAAAACUUGAAACACCAAUGAUGAUAGAAGAAGCUCUCCUGUAAUAACUGAUAUUUAAAUCCAAUACAGAGGUGCUACAUAGAAGGCAGCAUCACUGACUUUGAUGGCCAAGAACUCCAUAAGACUCCAUGAAAGACAGCUAACCCAUACCUAACAAGUUUUCUGUAUAAAGAUAUUCUGUACAGCACUAAUUCCUAGGUCUGAAUAAUGUCUUCAGAAAUGUAACAAUAUGGAGCCAUUACGCUAUGAUAACAGAAUGGAUCAGAUAAUAUCACAAGACUACUUAACGCUGUACAUUUUUGAAAAAUGUUCCUAUCUCUAAGCAACAAAGAGGCCUUUAUUUUUCUCUGCCGCAAGCAUACUACGGAUGAAGUCUAUACAUGUAAUAUGAUCAUUCAGACUGUUUAGUAAAAAAUACUUCAUUAUUUGAAGAAUCAGCAUGUGACAUUUUGAGUUGAGUUGAGUCCACAGACCAGGAG
Molecule: long non-coding RNA, 601 nt
Filed under: Anser brachyrhynchus (Pink-footed goose)
Lineage: Eukaryota; Metazoa; Chordata; Aves; Anseriformes; Anatidae
Description: lncRNA (ENSABRG00000000754.1)
Source: RNAcentral